Non-coding RNA from Paramormyrops kingsleyae, 969 nucleotides. The record is from RefSeq and is a predicted model, not a curated record. Lineage: Eukaryota; Metazoa; Chordata; Actinopteri; Osteoglossiformes; Mormyridae.
GAUUGGGCUAUAAAAAUGAAAAGAAACAAAAGUUGCGGCGGCUCAUGUGGCCGCCUUCUCCCCGCUCCGGAGACGUCUGCUCUCGGCGGCUAUCAUGCAGAGAAGCACCGGGAGCCGGAAAUAACGCGGAGGCGCGCUGCCGCGGGGUCCGGCCGUCCCCGUCAAAGCCGCGCAUCGCAGGCAUCGCGCGUGGAAAUAAAUCGCAGGAAGGCAGACAGCUCAGGUAACGCGCCUGCCUGUUAGACCGGGAAUUUGCCGCCAUUCCUGGCAUUUUGCAGGUUCUGCAGUGAGCUGCUCCGUUUGCCCCCUACUCUGAGAGCACGGACCGUGCCUCUCCUCUUGGCGGGGGAGUGAUGGCCAGUGAGUCCCCUUGCAUUGAGACGGCAGGUGACAAUUUGUGAGUCACUGGAUCACUCCGGACGGACGAAUCCUUCGCUCUGGAUUUUCGCUGACUCCCAGCAUCCCUAGCUGAAGCAAAUUUUGACUUCCCCCGCUGGAUUUUGCUUCAGAGAAGGGCUCGCCCCCUACAGGUCUGCUCGUCAUAUUGCAGAUUUCAUUUCAUGUUAGUGCUAGAACUAAAUUGCCUAAUUUACAAACGCCACUUUAAAUUUGUUUACGAGCCUCCUUUCCAAUCGCCAGUCAUCAAGGAUCCCAUCAUUUCCUGGGUGUCCUCCGCUCAUUUUUUUUAGCACGCAGUUUAGCGCGGCAGUGGAAUAUGCAAGCAAAUUAGGGCAUUAUCUUCAGGGAUACAGCUCUACGCAUUGCACGGGCCCGCUGCUGUCCGAUUGGCCGGCCGUGACAGGGUGAUUUAUGGGCUUUUGGCACAUUAGUUCAUCUGGCCUUACGGAGGGUUAGACUUGCCAGGGAUGAUGCAUCACGUUUUAAUUGGAGAGUCCAAAAUGCAUAAUGUUUACUGUAAAACAUUUAAAUGCAACGGGUGCCAAUGCCAAAAUAAACAUGAUAAAUGAA